GUGGCGGACGGGUGAGUAACGCGUGGGUAACCUGCCUCACACAGGGGGAUAACAGUUGGAAACGACCGCUAAUACCGCAUAACCCGCUAGGGCCGCAUGGCCCGGACGGAAAAGAUUUAUCGGUGUGAGAUGGACCCGCGUUGGACUAGCUAGUUGGCAGGGUAACGGCCUACCAAGGCGACGAUCCAUAGCCGGCCUGAGAGGGUGAACGGCCACAUUGGGACUGAGACACGGCCCAAACUCCUACGGGAGGCAGCAGUGGGGAAUAUUGCACAAUGGGGGAAACCCUGGUGCAGCGACGCCGCGUGAGUGAAGAAGUAUUUCGGUAUGUAAAGCUCUAUCAGCAGGGAAGAAAAUGACGGUACCUGACUAAGAAGCCCCGGCUAACUACGUGCCAGCAGCCGCGGUAAUACGUAGGGGGCAAGCGUUAUCCGGAUUUACUGGGUGUAAAGGGAGCGUAGACGGCUAAGCAAGUCAGAAGUGAAAGGCUGGGGCUCAACCCCGGGACUGCUUUUGAAACUGUUUGGCUAGAGUGCUGGAGAGGUAAGCGGAAUUCCUAGUGUAGCGGUGAAAUGCGUAGAUAUUAGGAGGAACACCAGUGGCGAAGGCGGCUUACUGGACAGUAACUGACGUUGA
Molecule: ribosomal RNA, 636 nt
Filed under: uncultured bacterium
Lineage: Bacteria
Description: bacterial SSU rRNA
Rfam family: Bacterial small subunit ribosomal RNA
Source: RNAcentral